AGGCAGCAGUGGGGAAUCUUGGACAAUGGGCGCAAGCCUGAUCCAGCCAUGCCGCGUGAGUGAUGAAGGCCCUAGGGUUGUAAAGCUCUUUCGCCAGGGAAGAUAAUGACGGUACCGGAGGAAUAAGCCCCGGCUAACUUCGUGCCAGCAGCCGCGGUAAUACGAAGGGGGCUAGCGUUGCUCGGAAUCACUGGGCGUAAAGGGCGCGCAGGCGGCGUUUUAAGUUGGGGGUGAAAGCCUGUGGCUCAACCACAGAAUUGCCUUCGAUAUUGGGACGCUUGAGUGUGGUAGAGGUUGGUGGAACUGCGAGUGUAGAGGUGAAAUUCGUAGAUAUUCGCAAGAACACCGGUGGCGAAGGCGGCCAACUGGACCAUCACCGACGCUGAGGCGCGAAAGCGUGGGGAGCAAACAGGAUUAGAUACCCCGGUAG
RNAcentral lists this ribosomal RNA (430 nucleotides) under uncultured bacterium. RNAcentral's name for it is "bacterial SSU rRNA". It matches the Rfam family "Bacterial small subunit ribosomal RNA", at positions 346 to 793 of the family's 1533-position model. The record is from RNAcentral.